RNAcentral lists this long non-coding RNA (636 nucleotides) under Setaria viridis. RNAcentral's name for it is "long non-coding RNA (SVIR_LNC005195)". Lineage: Eukaryota; Viridiplantae; Streptophyta; Magnoliopsida; Poales; Poaceae. The record is from RNAcentral.
CUAGCUCCCCCUCUACACCGUAAGCAUCAUCCGCUACACAUACGUACACAGCACGGAUCGACCAAUUCAUUUUGUGGAUAGAUGGAUGGAUCAGGCUUCAGGGUGCGCCAAAUCCCUGGAGACGCCGGCCUGGUACGGCUCCUCGCAGAACUCGCCGCCGAGGUCGUCGCACGCCUCGCCGGGGAACACCCUGCAGUUCAGUCCAUUCGCCACACACAAUUAGUCGCCACCCAGUGGAAUUUAAAAGAUCAAUUAAUGCAAGAAUGAACGGUGUGCUUGCUCACGUUUUGGGCUCGUCGUAGGACACGUAGUCCCUCUCCACCUCCUCCUGCCUCCUGGUCGCGGCGUCCGCCGCCGCAGAGGCGGCGAGCCUAGCCUCCGGGUACAUCUGCCCGCUGCAGGCGUCGCCGCCGAACAGCUCGCAGGCUUCCAUGGGGAACACCCUGCAACACCACAUGAUCCGUGUCAUAUACUCAUCUAGCAACCAAAUCAAGCAAGAGCUCAAAACAUCGAGGGACCUCGGGGGCUUGCACACUUACGAGGAGCUCGAGCUGUAGUCGACCUCGGCAGGUUCGGCCGCGGAGACGGCGACUGCGGCGGCACGGAAGCUCCUCCGGAGGACAAUGCGAACCGCCG